AAAUUGAAGAGUUUGAUCAUGGCUCAGAUUGAACGCUGGCGGCAGGCCUAACACAUGCAAGUCGAACGGUAACAGGAAGCAGCUUGCUGCUUCGCUGACGAGUGGCGGACGGGUGAGUAAUGUCUGGGAAACUGCCUGAUGGAGGGGGAUAACUACUGGAAACGGUGGCUAAUACCGCAUAACGUCGCAAGACCAAAGAGGGGGACCUUCGGGCCUCUUGCCAUCAGAUGUGCCCAGAUGGGAUUAGCUAGUUGGUGAGGUAACGGCUCACCAAGGCGACGAUCCCUAGCUGGUCUGAGAGGAUGACCAGCCACACUGGAACUGAGACACGGUCCAGACUCCUACGGGAGGCAGCAGUGGGGAAUAUUGCACAAUGGGCGCAAGCCUGAUGCAGCCAUGCCGCGUGUAUGAAGAAGGCCUUCGGGUUGUAAAGUACUUUCAGCGGGGAGGAAGGUGUUGUGGUUAAUAACCGCAGCAAUUGACGUUACCCGCAGAAGAAGCACCGGCUAACUCCGUGCCAGCAGCCGCGGUAAUACGGAGGGUGCAAGCGUUAAUCGGAAUUACUGGGCGUAAAGCGCACGCAGGCGGUCUGUCAAGUCGGAUGUGAAAUCCCCGGGCUCAACCUGGGAACUGCAUUCGAAACUGGCAGGCUUGAGUCUUGUAGAGGGGGGUAGAAUUCCAGGUGUAGCGGUGAAAUGCGUAGAGAUCUGGAGGAAUACCGGUGGCGAAGGCGGCCCCCUGGACAAAGACUGACGCUCAGGUGCGAAAGCGUGGGGAGCAAACAGGAUUAGAUACCCUGGUAGUCCACGCCGUAAACGAUGUCUACUUGGAGGUUGUGCCCUUGAGGCGUGGCUUCCGGAGCUAACGCGUUAAGUAGACCGCCUGGGGAGUACGGCCGCAAGGUUAAAACUCAAAUGAAUUGACGGGGGCCCGCACAAGCGGUGGAGCAUGUGGUUUAAUUCGAUGCAACGCGAAGAACCUUACCUGGUCUUGACAUCCACAGAACUUUCCAGAGAUGGAUUGGUGCCUUCGGGAACUGUGAGACAGGUGCUGCAUGGCUGUCGUCAGCUCGUGUUGUGAAAUGUUGGGUUAAGUCCCGCAACGAGCGCAACCCUUAUCCUUUGUUGCCAGCGGUCCGGCCGGGAACUCAAAGGAGACUGCCAGUGAUAAACUGGAGGAAGGUGGGGAUGACGUCAAGUCAUCAUGGCCCUUACGACCAGGGCUACACACGUGCUACAAUGGCGCAUACAAAGAGAAGCGACCUCGCGAGAGCAAGCGGACCUCAUAAAGUGCGUCGUAGUCCGGAUUGGAGUCUGCAACUCGACUCCAUGAAGUCGGAAUCGCUAGUAAUCGUGGAUCAGAAUGCCACGGUGAAUACGUUCCCGGGCCUUGUACACACCGCCCGUCACACCAUGGGAGUGGGUUGCAAAAGAAGUAGGUAGCUUAACCUUCGGGAGGGCGCUUACCACUUUGUGAUUCAUGACUGGGGUGAAGUCGUAACAAGGUAACCGUAGGGGAACCUGCGGUUGGAUCACCUCCUUACCUUAAAGAA
Molecule: ribosomal RNA, 1552 nt
Filed under: Salmonella enterica subsp. enterica serovar Concord
Lineage: Bacteria; Pseudomonadati; Pseudomonadota; Gammaproteobacteria; Enterobacterales; Enterobacteriaceae
Also listed under: 2 other names
Description: bacterial SSU rRNA
Rfam family: Bacterial small subunit ribosomal RNA
Source: RNAcentral